Molecule: long non-coding RNA, 6466 nt
Filed under: Heterocephalus glaber (naked mole-rat)
Lineage: Eukaryota; Metazoa; Chordata; Mammalia; Rodentia; Bathyergidae
Description: lncRNA (ENSHGLG00000040087.1)
Source: RNAcentral
CCAAAAACCCUUUCCUGUGGGCUGGGAGCAGCCAGAGGCAUGGUGGCCGGGAAACCCCUUCCUCUGGACCAGAACCAGUGGGAUGGUGGCUCAGAAGCCCCUUCCUCUGGGCCAGGAGCAGCGGGACAGAAGGUGACCCAAAAGCCUUUUCCUGUGGGCUGGGAGCAGCCGGAGGGAUAGUGACCGGGAAGCCCCUUCCUCUGGACCAGGAGCAGUGGGCCGACGGCUCAGAAGCCCCUACCUCUGGGCCGGGAACAGUGGGACUCAGUACCUUGGUCUGGUGGUCUGUUGUCCUCUGCGUCUUUGUAUUGUGGAAUCAGGUGGCAGCCUGUCUGCAGCAGGGUGAUUCGGUGUCUUCCGCGUGACUCAGGACCUCGGUAGGGCGUGCACAGACCUGCCUGUCUGCAGCGGGCUGAUUUGGCGUGUGUUCCGCACAACUGGGGACCUCGGUGAGGUGUGGGCAGACCUGCCUGUCUGCAGCGGGGUGAUUCGGCGUCUUCAGCACGACUCAGGACCUCGGUAGGGCGUGCACAGACCUGCCUGUCUGCAGUGGGCUGAUUCGGCGUGUUCUGUGCGACUCAGGACCUUGGUAGGGCAUGGGCCUACAUAACACAUCUUAAAUCUUUUUGUAUUCCCUUCCCCUCCUCUCCCUCCAUCUCUUGGUCCCUUUCUCAUUGCAAAAGAUGGAUCUCCCUGUUAACUAAUGUCCAUCUUUUAUUUUCUUCUUUAAAUGAUUUAUACUUUGGGUUUCUCAUAUAAGGGAAAUCUAGCAAUAUUUAAGCUUGUGUUUAAUUUAUUUCAGUUAACUUUAUGGUCCCAGGGUACAUUCAUUUUCCUAUAGGCAGUUCAAAUUUAUCCUUCAUUAUGGCAGAGUAGUACUCCAUUGUGUAUUCAUCUAUUGCUGGACAUAUAGACUUGCUUUCAAGAUUUAGCUAUUAUGAGUUGUGCUGUUAUAAACAUGGGUAUGCAUGUACACUGUAGUAGGAUGUCUUUAGCUCUUUUAGGAAGAUACUUAGAAGGGGAAUAGCUGGGUCCAGUGGAAUUUCUAUUUUUAGUUUUUUAAGUCCACUUUUUCUGAAAAUAGGAUUGCUACUCCUGAUCAUUUUUAGGCUCCCGUUUCAUGGGCUAUUUUUUUCUAUCCUUUGAUUUUUAGUCUUAUGAAUUUUUUUUCAGACAAAAUGUGUUUCUUGUAUAUAGCAUAACAUUGGAUUUUAUUUCUUUAUUGAACUUACCAGUGUCCUUUAAUCAGGGAGUUGAGACAGUUCACAUUGAGCAUUAUUACUGAAGGGUACAGACUUAUUCCUGUCAGUACAUUUUCUCGAUGAUUCCUUCCCCAACCCUCACCCCACCCUUCUGCUUAACUGCUCACCCUACCUAGUGUGUUCAUUUCCCUAUAUGUUUUGGCAUUGUUGCCUUCAUUUUCUCUUUCUAGAAUGUCUUUGAGAAUUUUUGGUAGUACUGGCUUGGUGGUCUUGAAUUUCUUGAGGGCUCUUUGUUAUUUCUCUAUCAAUUUUGAAAAAUAGUUUUGCAGGAUAUAUUAGUCUGGGUUAGAGGUUGUUUUCUUUUUUCUUUUUAUUCAUUUAUUUUUGUUUUGUUUUUUGGUUUUAGUUUUUGGUAGUUUUGAGACAGGUCUCACUAUGUAGUUCAGCCUUAAACUCAUUGUGUAGCCCAGGGUGGUUUUGAGCUUAUGAUGAUCCUCCUGCCUCAGCCUCCUGUGUCCUGGAAUUAUAGGCAUGUGCCACCAUGCCUGGCUGGAAGUUGUUUUCCUUUUAGGAUCUGAAACACUUCACUCCAAGCUCCCCUGCCCUUUGAGGUUGGUGUUGCAAAGUCUGCUGUAAUUCUAAUGGGUUUACCUUUAUAAAUGAUUUGUUGCUUUCACAGCAACAUCUCUCACAGCCUUUAUGAUUCUGUCCUUGUGUUGGACAACUACGAUUUUGAUUAUGAUAUGUUGUGAAAAAGCCUUUUUCUAGUCAUGACUAUUUGGGGUUCUAUAUGCCUUGCUUAUCUGUAUUAAAUUCUUUCCCCAGACAUGGAAAGUUUUCUAUAAUUUCUGAAAAAAAAAAGUUUUUUACACCAUUUGAGCGAUCUUAUUUUUCACUGACUACAGUUAACUUGGAUUAGUCUUCCUUGCAUUAUCUAGCAGUUGUUGGAUACAUGUUCCAUGUUCUCUUGUUGUUUUUAUGGAAUUUUUUAGUAUGUGACCAUCUACAUCAGCCUUGUCUUCUAGUUCUGUCACUGUCCUCUCACUUUUGCUGCCUAUACCAUCAAUAUAGUUUUUUAUCUCCUGGAUUUCUGUUUGGGACCUUUCUGUUUGUCACUUCCCAGGUGAAAAUUUCUCUUUUUGUAUUACUACUCAAUUCUUAAAGAACCAGUUUUUCUUUGGCUGAUGUAAUCUCGCCCUUGAGCGUCACAGCAUCAUGGAACUAUUAAGGCCUCAGACAGCCCUAAUCAUAAUUUAAUUGUGAAAUGAUAUUUUCCCCAAAACUAUGUAGAAUGGCUCCCGACAGAGAUAUCUUUCAUUAAUGUCUGUUUUCCAGUGAUCCACUGUGGGUGUAGCUAACUGUAGACAUUUGCUUCUGUCCCAAGAUCCAACCUCUCUGUUUAUUUAUGGAGAGAGGAUGCAGUGUAAUUGGCUCAGCAGCUAGCCCUCUGGAAAUGAAUUGUUGAUGACACAGACAAACCAGAUAUUGCCAUACAGUAAAAGCCAAUCAGUAGCAAUAAAUAUGCCACCCUUGAAAUAGCAAUGAAAUCAGCAACAAUAAUACAAUCAAAGACAAAUGACACUGACAUAUCUAUGACCAAUAAAAGCUACCACUGUACCACCCUUAAUAAUGGAAAAGAGAUCUGUAACUAUAAUAUAGACAUAAAGACAAACCAAAUAUUGACAUACAGUGAAUAUCUACUAAAUGCAAAUCUAUGUCACUAUUGACAAUAGAGAAAAUGCAACAAUAAUUACAUAGUCAACUAAUUAUCUAAAGAUUAAUAAAUCCUAAUUAGUAAUACUAGUAAAGAUGAAGAAAGUAUAAAAGGGAAAUGGAAGAAAUAAAAUUUGAAGUAUAAAGAAAAGGAAGAUGAGAAGGAUUACAGAAAAGUGAAAUAAAGAAUCCUAUGAAGGGGUAAAAGAAAAUUAUAGAAUUAGAUAAAAGUAACAGAAAUGAACAAAGAAGAAAAAAACAGCAAAAUAAAAAAACAAAAAAGCACUAAGAGAAAAAAAGAAAAGAACCCCCACCUAAAAAAAAGAAUCAAUGAAGCAAGAGAAAUGAGUCCGAAAAAUUUCCAUUAUUUUGAAUGAGUGAUUUGUUUUCAGGGUCUACAGUCUUGGAAUCCACCAGUACAGGGGAGGGAUAAUGAGUCACUACCAACACCUAUUUUGUUUCCACACUCACGUUUUUGUAUGCAAAUACUAAAUCAUGCUCCACCUUUCCUGCUGGACAUGGUUGGUCAGUGAUAUCCAUCCUAAGGCUGUAGUCAUUCCAGCUGCUGCCAGUUUCCAGGGUCCUCUGUGUGCCCAAGUGAUGGCUUUCUCCACCUAGCUUAAUACCCUAUGGGUCUGUGAAGUUCCCCUUACCCAACUCCAGGGGCACCUUUGUCCAUACAGUCCAGGCUGUGGCAACCACCCAAGCCAAGGCAUAUACCUCAUCAUGCUGGAAGAUGGGGAAAACUAACUCACCACUGGGCUGUGUGUUGGGUAUAGGCAGUGGGGCAGGAGGAGGGGGUGAAGGAGUCCUCUGGAUUUAAUGGCAGUACUUUCAGACCCAGCUGCCUCUGAAAACCACACAUGACAGCCCUGGCUUCUGAAUUUGGAAAGUGGUACCCCUGUGUCUUUUCCCAGCCUGAGUUUAAACUUCUCAGGGAGUCUAACCCUACCUUGUACCUUCUUCACUACCUUCUCUUAUGACCAUCUCCCACCCAUUUGCGUGGUAGAGUGACCCCAGAAACCCUGAAGUAUAGUUGUUGUAUAGCUCAGUUUUAACCCCUUCCCAAAGUGGCUCCUGAUUAAAGUCUCAAAUAUGGUGGGCGCUGCACUGGAUUUCUUCCCCAACUCUAACCUGCCAUCCAGAAGAAUUAUUUUCAAAGUAAAACCCCUCUGUUUUUGUAGUUUACUAUAACUUUUCUUAGGAUUAGAGCUGCCAGUACAGUUCAUUGUCCCUGGAGCUGCCAACUCUCUUACCUUGUAUUAGUGGAGACAGGUCUGCCUCCCUGAGAGCCAGAGUUACUGUUCCAGAUGCUUUGUUCUUUUCUCUACGUUGUGUUCAGUUUCUCUGUAGUUUCUAGUUUUCUGUUGGCUCUUUGUUGAUUCCCAGAGACCUACUUCUUUUUGUCUUUACUAAGUUGUUUUCCAAGUGUCUUGAUUCCAGGUCAAGGAGAGGCUGUAUUUUGCUGCAGGUUUUUUUCACCAAACCAGAGGUGUGUGUAUGUCCACCUGCAUGGCCUGUGUAGGGCCUCUAAGAAUAAUCUUUAAAAACAUACAAAUUCACCUUGUUCUGUGUGUCCUUUGAAGUCAUGUAGAAAGAUAAAAUCAGCAUUUCUUGUGUAGAAUAGAAUAUGUGGCUUGCCUUUGGUAUCUAAAAAGCAUGGACUUUCUUUAUAUAAUUAUUUUAAGAGUCUUCCCACUUCAGUUUUACAAUGUUUGUGGUAUCUCACAAGUUCCAAGAUCUGAUGAGGACUGUCCACUGAAUCUCUGUCACAGACUGGUCCUUUUUCGUGUUCAAGUCAGAAAGAGGGCUUUCUAGGUUAUCUCAUAUAAUUAGGAAAAACUAUUUUGAUUUUUCCAGCUUUAAUCAUAAGUAUUGCUAAAAGAGGCAGUUUGAGAGUCAAGAUACACCAUUCACUAUUAAUUUGACAUCUGUUAAUUCUCUAUCUUCAUGACCCACCCAAAGCUUUCUGAGUCUUAAAACUUUGCUUUGAGAUGAUGCUACCUUACACAUUUAUAUAUGUAACAGUUUGUGGGUAAUUUAUUGGAAUUAGAGCUUUUACGUCAAUCAUGGAUAACCUUUUUUAAAAAAUCAAACUAAUAACCACUGAAUACAAAAGUGGAAAUGGAAAAUCUAUCAGCAUAGCUACCCUAAAAGGAACAUUUUAAGUCUGUAAUACUUUAAGCACUGCCCCUUAAGAUGUUAAGAGAUGGGCAAGGCGAGACAUGCCUGUAAUCCCAGCAAUCAGGAGGCUAGGCAGGAGGAGGAUUGCCACCAGUUCAAAGCCAGCCUAGGGUACAUAGAGUUCAGUGCUGGCCUGAAUGUCUGAACUAUAUAGGGAGAGCCUGCCUCAAAAAAAAAAAAAAAAGGGAAGGAAAAAUUAAACAAACUUCUAAAAAUUAAAUAAAACUUAAAUGAAAAUUCUGUAAAUUAUAUUUUCUUGUAGAUUAAUCUCAGUUGUUUUGCUACUUGUGUUCUAGUUUUGAUGAAGCACAAGGUUUCAAAGGAAAAGUAUUCGAUUCUUAGUCCAUAUAAGCUUUAAGAAAAUUGAAUAAACUGUUCAGAAUAUAGUACAAAUUAUUCUUUUAAUAAUAGCAAUACAAUUAUUUUUAUAACAUCAGUUUAACAGUAGCCUACUAAAAGGGUAUUGCUAUUAAAAUGAUAAAUUAUCCUUCUGAGCAAAUUGAAAAAGCAACUUAUCUAAGCAAAUUGGACAGUUACCUUUUGACUAAAGAUGUCAUUUUUAGUUAUACUUUUUGAACAAAAUCUUUGUACAAGAAUAUCUAUUCUGUUCAUUUAAUUUUGUGAUUUAAAAAAAUUCCCAAAGAUGGAAAAUAUGUUUUCUAGUUCCUCAUCAUUAUGUAAUUCCUAACAUAUACUUUUGUAAAAUUUGAUAUUUUAUUAUGUGUUUACUGUAAGACCAUGGGCCUUACCAACUGCUCCGAGGAGCUGACUACAGUGAGGAUCACCCAGGAGGGAACACACUGGACAAAUUGAGAAAGUGAAACAGACCUUUAUUAGUCUGACCAGACGGCACCCUCCAAGCUCCAAGGGUCUCACUAUGAGGUUCAGACUGGCCUUGAACUCACUAUGUAGCCCAGGCUGGUCUCGAACUCGCAGCGAUCCUCCUGCCUCAGCCUCCUGAGUGCUGGGAUUACAGGUGUAUGACACCAUGCCUGGCUUAGAACAUAAUUUAUUUUGAUUUGACUUCUGAUACUAUCACAAGACUUAAGUCUGUAGUUACAAAACCUAACUACUACAGAAGAGGUAUAUUACAUUUUUUGGAACUUAAAAAAUGUUUAACAGAGGCUAAGAUAUAGCUUAAUAAUAUGUACAGCAUGUAUGUGGCCCUGGAUUCAAUCUAAGCACCAAAAUACAUUAAAAAAAUUUUAUUUAACUGAGAACCAUGGUAUGUGUACAAGAUUAAAAAGCUAUUCACUGUCCCUUUUAAUCUUUUCAUUUUGAGCUUUACAAUUAAAAGAAUGUUUUUGGAAAAGAAUUCCUGAAGUAUUAUUUUUAUGUAUAAAUAAAGUUUCAUCUAUAUCUGAGAA